AAUUUGUGCUCCACGUGGGCCGGAUGUGUGCUCCCUGCCCCUGUCAGACCCCUGGGCUUAUGUCCUCCCCUGGCUCCAUCUUGCUGACAGCCAGUGGGGCAGCCCUGCCACCAAGCACCAAGCACCCCCAGGCCUGGCCCCCAUGCAGGGGCAGCUGUUGAAAGGCUGUGAUGUGCCCAGAGACUGCAGUUUAUGAUGAAUGCUCUCAACGGUGGCCUCAGGGAUGGCUUGGUGGGGCAGGGAGCUGGGUGACACUCACUGGUACUAAGAAGGCAGUGUCUCCUUAUCCUGCCUAGGUAACCCCAGGGGCUUUCUUCAAGGAGGAUGCUCCUGAAGUGCCCGCUGGUCUGAGCAACAAGGCCAUAGUGGAACCCUGCUUCCACCCAGGAAGGACAGCCUGAGGGCUCACCGAUCUCCAUCUGCUUACUGGGCCCUGUCCCUCCAGCGACAGUGUCCACAGCACACGUGCAGAACUGACCCCGAGGAGUGCUGAGCAGGACCGACUUGCUGGCGCAACCACCUCACUGGGCAUGGUGACUGCAUUAUUGUAUGCCACUGCGAUUGUACUGUAGCUAGAGGAUGUGCUCUCUCCUGUGCAUCACAUACAGAGUCUGCAGUGCUACUCAUUUGCAAGAAAAGUGCCGCAUAUGUGUGCACAAUGGUCUGAUUGUGAAAGACUUGCAAGCCUUCCCCUUCCUGGAGAUCCCGAAGGCCACAUUUGUCAUAUAGUCACUUUGCUAUGAGUGUGUAAUUAAAUGUAAAGCACUUUGGGAUGUUCAGCUGUAUAAAGUAUUGCUAUUGAAAUGCAAGUUGUUUUUUUCUACAGACAAGGAAAAAAAAAAAACAAACACAGAAAACAAAUGAAAAGGUUUCUAGGGAUAAAAAUGUGAACACUGGUAGAUAAAUAAA
Molecule: long non-coding RNA, 909 nt
Filed under: Cairina moschata (Muscovy duck)
Lineage: Eukaryota; Metazoa; Chordata; Aves; Anseriformes; Anatidae
Description: domestica (muscovy Duck (domestic type)) lncRNA (ENSCMMG00000000119.1)
Source: RNAcentral